RNAcentral lists this ribosomal RNA (500 nucleotides) under uncultured bacterium. RNAcentral describes it as "bacterial SSU rRNA". It matches the Rfam family "Bacterial small subunit ribosomal RNA", at positions 30 to 526 of the family's 1533-position model. The record is from RNAcentral.
AUUGAACGCUGGCGGCAGGCCUAAGACAUGCAAGUCGAGCGAGAAAGCCCUUCGGGGUGAGUACAGCGGCGGACGGGUGAGUAACGCGUAGGAAUCUACCCAGUAGUGGGGGACAACUAGUGGAAACGCUAGCUAAUACCGCAUACGCCCUACGGGGGAAAGCGGGGGAUCUUCGGACCUCGUGCUAUUGGAUGAGCCUGCGUAAGAUUAGCUUGUUGGUGAGGUAAUGGCUCACCAAGGCGACGAUCUUUAGCUGGUCUGAGAGGAUGAUCAGCCACACCGGGACUGAGACACGGCCCGGACUCCUACGGGAGGCAGCAGUCGGGAAUAUUGCGCAAUGGGGGAAACCCUGACGCAGCCAUGCCGCGUGUGUGAAGAAGGCCCUAGGGUUGUAAAGCACUUUCAAUUGGGAGGAAAAGCUAAUGGUUAAUAACCAUUAGCCCUGACGUUACCUUUAGAAGAAGCACCGGCUAACUCCGUGCCAGCCGCCGCCGUAACAC